UACGUAGGGUGCGAGCGUUAAUCGGAAUUACUGGGCGUAAAGCGUGCGCAGGCGGUUCUGUAAGACCGAUGGGAAAUCCCCGGGCUUAACCUGGGAACUGCAUUGGUGACUGCAGGGCUAGAGUGUGUCAGAGGGAGGUGGAAUUCCGCGUGUAGCGGUGAAAUGCGUAGAGAUGCGGAGGAACACCGAUGGCGAAGGCAGCCUCCUGGGAUAACACUGACGCUCAUGCACGAAAGCGUGGGGAGCAAACAGG
RNAcentral lists this ribosomal RNA (253 nucleotides) under uncultured bacterium. Its description in RNAcentral is "partial 16S ribosomal RNA". It matches the Rfam family "Bacterial small subunit ribosomal RNA", at positions 524 to 776 of the family's 1533-position model. The record is from RNAcentral.